This 376-nucleotide ribosomal RNA is filed under the name uncultured bacterium. RNAcentral describes it as "bacterial SSU rRNA". It matches the Rfam family "Bacterial small subunit ribosomal RNA", at positions 524 to 898 of the family's 1533-position model. The record is from RNAcentral.
UACGUAGGGGGCGAGCGUUGUCCGGAAUUACUGGGCGUAAAGGGUGCGUAGGCGGCACUUUAAGUUGGAUGUGAAAUACCCGGGCUUAACUUGGGGGGUGCAUCCAAUACUGGAGAACUAGAGUGCAGGAGAGGGAAGCGGAAUUCCUAGUGUAGCGGUGAAAUGCGUAGAUAUUAGGAGGAACACCAGUGGCGAAGGCGGCUUUCUGGACUGUAACUGACGCUGAGGCACGAAAGCGUGGGGAGCAAACAGGAUUAGAUACCCUGGUAGUCCACGCUGUAAACGAUGAAUACUAGGUGUAGGGGGUAUCAACUCCCCCUGUGCCGGAGCAAACGCAAUAAGUACUCCGCCUGGGGAGUACGGCCGCAAGGUUGAA